GAUGAACGCUGGCGGCGUGCCUAAUACAUGCAAGUCGAGCGAACGGACGAGAAGCUUGCUUCUCUGAUGUUAGCGGCGGACGGGUGAGUAACACGUGGAUAACCUACCUAUAAGACUGGGAUAACUUCGGGAAACCGGAGCUAAUACCGGAUGAUAUUUUGAACCGCAUGGUUCAAAAGUGAAAGACGGUCUUGCUGUCACUUAUAGAUGGAUCCGCGCUGCAUUAGCUAGUUGGUAAGGUAACGGCUUACCAAGGCAACGAUGCAUAGCCGACCUGAGAGGGUGAUCGGCUACACUGGAACUGAGACACAGUCCAGACUCCUACGGGAGGCAGCAGUAGGGAAUCUUCCGCAAUGGGCGAAAGCCUGACGGAGCAACGCCGCGUGAGUGAUGAAGGUCUUCGGAUCGUAAAACUCUGUUAUUAGGGAAGAACAUAUGUGUAAGUAACUGUGCACAUCUUGACGGUACCUAAUCAGAAAGCCACGGCUAACUACGUG
This 497-nucleotide ribosomal RNA is filed under the name uncultured bacterium. RNAcentral's name for it is "partial 16S ribosomal RNA". It matches the Rfam family "Bacterial small subunit ribosomal RNA", at positions 28 to 507 of the family's 1533-position model. The record is from RNAcentral.